RNAcentral lists this ribosomal RNA (618 nucleotides) under uncultured bacterium. RNAcentral describes it as "bacterial SSU rRNA". It matches the Rfam family "Bacterial small subunit ribosomal RNA", at positions 338 to 944 of the family's 1533-position model. The record is from RNAcentral.
CCUACGGGAGGCAGCAGUGGGGAAUUUUGGACAAUGGGCGCAAGCCUGAUCCAGCAAUGCCGCGUGAGUGAAGAAGGCCUUCGGGUUGUAAAGCUCUUUUGUCAGGGAAGAAACGGUGGGGGCUAAUAUCUCCUGCUAAUGACGGUACCUGAAGAAUAAGCACCGGCUAACUACGUGCCAGCAGCCGCGGUAAUACGUAGGGUGCAAGCGUUAAUCGGAAUUACUGGGCGUAAAGCGUGCGCAGGCGGUUUUGUAAGUUUGUCGUGAAAUCCCCGGGCUCAACCUGGGAAUGGCGAUGAAGACUGCAAGGCUAGAAUCUGGCAGAGGGGGGUAGAAUUCCACGUGUAGCAGUGAAAUGCGUAGAGAUGUGGAGGAACACCGAUGGCGAAGGCAGCCCCCUGGGUCAAGAUUGACGCUCAUGCACGAAAGCGUGGGGAGCAAACAGGAUUAGAUACCCUGGUAGUCCACGCCCUAAACGAUGUCUACUAGUUGUCGGGUUUUAAUUAACUUGGUAACGCAGCUAACGCGUGAAGUAGACCGCCUGGGGAGUACGGGUCGCAAGAUUAAAACUUCAAAGGAAUUGACGGNUUGNGAGNGCGAGCGACGACGAGGAGGAGG